RNAcentral lists this transfer RNA (92 nucleotides) under Clostridia bacterium. RNAcentral describes it as "tRNA-Ser". It matches the Rfam family "tRNA". From Rfam's summary of the family: Transfer RNA (tRNA) molecules are approximately 80 nucleotides in length. Their secondary structure includes four short double-helical elements and three loops (D, anti-codon, and T loops). Further hydrogen bonds mediate the characteristic L-shaped molecular structure. tRNAs have two regions of fundamental functional importance: the anti-codon, which is responsible for specific mRNA codon recognition, and the 3' end, to which the tRNAs corresponding amino acid is attached (by aminoacyl-tRNA synthetases). tRNAs cope with the degeneracy of the genetic code in two manners: having more than one tRNA (with a specific anti-codon) for a particular amino acid; and 'wobble' base-pairing, i.e. permitting non-standard base-pairing at the 3rd anti-codon position. Lineage: Bacteria; Bacillati; Bacillota; Clostridia. The record is from RNAcentral.
GGAGAGGUGGCUGAGUUGGCUGAAGGCGCUCGACUCGAAAUCGAGUAGGCGAGUGCAUCGCCUCGUGGGUUCAAAUCCCACCCUCUCCGCCA